This 74-nucleotide transfer RNA is filed under the name Felis catus (domestic cat). It matches the Rfam family "tRNA". Rfam says of the family: Transfer RNA (tRNA) molecules are approximately 80 nucleotides in length. Their secondary structure includes four short double-helical elements and three loops (D, anti-codon, and T loops). Further hydrogen bonds mediate the characteristic L-shaped molecular structure. tRNAs have two regions of fundamental functional importance: the anti-codon, which is responsible for specific mRNA codon recognition, and the 3' end, to which the tRNAs corresponding amino acid is attached (by aminoacyl-tRNA synthetases). tRNAs cope with the degeneracy of the genetic code in two manners: having more than one tRNA (with a specific anti-codon) for a particular amino acid; and 'wobble' base-pairing, i.e. permitting non-standard base-pairing at the 3rd anti-codon position. Lineage: Eukaryota; Metazoa; Chordata; Mammalia; Carnivora; Felidae. The record is from Rfam by way of RNAcentral.
GCCUGGCUGGGCUAAGUUGGAAGAGCAUGCGACUCUUAAUCUCAGGGUCAUGAGUUCGAGCUCCAUGUCGGGCA